GACGAACGCUGGCGGUGUGCUUAACACAUGCAAGUCGAACGGUAAGGCCCUUUCGGGGGUACACGAGUGGCGAACGGGUGAGUAACACGUGAGUAACCUGCCCUCAUCUCUGGGAUAACAGUCGGAAACGGUUGCUAAUACUGGAUAUGAGCUUGCAAGGCAUCUUGUGGGUUGGAAAGAUUUUUUUGGUUGGGGAUGGACUCGCGGCCUAUCAGCUUGUUGGUGAGGUAGUGGCUCACCAAGGCUUCGACGGGUAGCCGGCCUGAGAGGGCGACCGGCCACAUUGGGACUGAGAUACGGCCCAAACUCCUACGGGAGGCAGCAGUGGGGAAUAUUGCACAAUGGACGGAAGUCUGAUGCAGCAACGCCGCGUGCGGGAUGACGGCCUUCGGGUUGUAAACCGCUUUCAAUUGUGACGAAGCUUUUUGUGACGGUAGCAGUAGAAGAAGCACCGGCUAACUACGCG
RNAcentral lists this ribosomal RNA (466 nucleotides) under uncultured bacterium. Its description in RNAcentral is "partial 16S ribosomal RNA". It matches the Rfam family "Bacterial small subunit ribosomal RNA", at positions 28 to 507 of the family's 1533-position model. The record is from RNAcentral.